Molecule: ribosomal RNA, 726 nt
Filed under: uncultured bacterium
Lineage: Bacteria
Description: bacterial SSU rRNA
Rfam family: Bacterial small subunit ribosomal RNA
Source: RNAcentral
AGCGGCGAACGGGUGAGUAACACGUAGGUCAUCUGCCCAUCAGACGGGGACAACGAUUGGAAACGAUCGCUAAUACCGGAUAGGACGAAAGUUUAAAGGUGCUUCUGGCACCGCUGAUGGAUGAGCCUGCGGCGCAUUAGCUAGUUGGUAGGGUAAAGGCCUACCAAGGCGACGAUGCGUAGCCGACCUGAGAGGGUGAACGGCCACACUGGGACUGAGACACGGCCCAGACUCCUACGGGAGGCAGCAGUAGGGAGUCUUCGGCAAUGGGCGAAAGCCUGACCGAGCAACGCCGCGUGAAUGAUGAAGGCCUUCGGGUUGUAAAAUUCUGUUAUAAGGGAAGAACGACUUUAGUAGGAAAUGGCUAGAGUGUGACGGUACCUUAUGAGAAAGCCACGGCUAACUACGUGCCAGCAGCCGCGGUAAUACGUAGGUGGCGAGCGUUAUCCGGAAUUAUUGGGCGUAAAGAGCGCGCAGGUGGUUGAUUAAGUCUGAUGUGAAAGCCCACGGCUUAACCGUGGAGGGUCAUUGGAAACUGGUCGACUUGAGUGCAGAAGAGGGAAGUGGAAUUCCAUGUGUAGCGGUGAAAUGCGUAGAGAUAUGGAGGAACACCAGUGGCGAAGGCGGCUUCCUGGUCUGUAACUGACACUGAGGCGCGAAAGCGUGGGGAGCAAACAGGAUUAGAUACCCUGGUAGUCCACGCCGUAAACGAUGAGUGCUAAGUGU